This 751-nucleotide long non-coding RNA is filed under the name Mytilus galloprovincialis (Mediterranean mussel). The record is from RNAcentral. Lineage: Eukaryota; Metazoa; Mollusca; Bivalvia; Mytilida; Mytilidae.
CCCACGUCCCCACAUUGUCAUUGGAGAAAUUAAAUAAGUAUAAGAAAAAAAAAAUUGUAUAAGAAAAAAUAUUGAAUAAUAAUUUCCUGUCAAUAUACAUAGUAUGUCCUUAUUAUCUACAAAAUUUCAUGAAAUUCUGUUGUGUGUUUUCAGAGGAGUUGAGAUGACAAACUGUUGCAGAAGUACAUUGAAGCAAAUAAGUUCAAAGGGGCAUAACUCCUAGAAAAAAAAUUGAACCGUAAUUUCCUGUUGAUAUGCACAUCUACAUAGUAUUUCCUUAUUAUCUACAAAGUUUCCUGAAAUUCUGUUCUGUGGUUUGAGAGGAGUUGCGAUGACAAACUGUUGCAGUAGUACAAUAAAGUAAAUAAGUUCAAAGGGGCGUAACUCCUAGAAAAAAAAUUGAAUCGCAAUUUCCCGUCGAUAUGCACAACUACAUAGUAUGUCCUUAUUAUCUGAAAAGGUUUCGUGAAAUUCUGUUGUGUGGUUUGAGAGGAGUUGCGAUGACAAACUGUUGCAGUAGUACAUUAAAGUAAAUAAGUUCAAAGGGGCGUAACUCCUAGAAAAAAAAAUUGAAUCGCAAUUUCCCGUCGAUAUGCACAACUACAUAGUAUGUCCUUAUUUUCUGAAAAGGUUUCGUGAAAUUCUGUUGUGUGGUUUGAGAGGAGUUGCGAUGACAAGAAACAGGACUGACGGACGGACGGACGGACUGACGGACGGACGGACGGACGGACGGACGGACGGACGGACGGAC